Non-coding RNA from Ciborinia camelliae, 99 nucleotides. The record is from the annotation of a GenBank genome assembly. NCBI's taxonomy places the organism in Eukaryota, Fungi, Ascomycota, Leotiomycetes, Helotiales, Sclerotiniaceae.
GCCCGGCUAGCUCAAUCGGUAGAGCGUGUGACUCUUACUUCAUCGCAAGAUGUUCCAGUUCCAAUCACAAGGUUGGGGGUUCGACCCCCCCGUUGGGCU